This 223-nucleotide long non-coding RNA is filed under the name Coffea arabica (coffee). RNAcentral's name for it is "long non-coding RNA (CARA_LNC001993)". The record is from RNAcentral. Lineage: Eukaryota; Viridiplantae; Streptophyta; Magnoliopsida; Gentianales; Rubiaceae.
UUACAUGGUAAAUGGUAAAUCUUACUAUUUUUUUUUCUUUUUUUUUUCUGACGGAGUGGGUGUCCGGACACGAUAACCACGAAACUCGGAUCCUUGCAGGCACUGAACACCAGCUCCUAAGGAGGUUUGCUGAGACCAACCGAGCUGCCCAUGAGGGGCAGGCAAUUUGGUGAGAGGCAAGGGUUGAACCCCUAACCUCCCACCCCACCAAGACAGGUGGUGG